This 2086-nucleotide ribosomal RNA is filed under the name Triticum aestivum (bread wheat). RNAcentral describes it as "partial small subunit ribosomal RNA". Lineage: Eukaryota; Viridiplantae; Streptophyta; Magnoliopsida; Poales; Poaceae. The record is from RNAcentral.
GACCCAACCGACAAAGGUGCACUUGCUGUGAAACGGGUUAGACCAGGCGCGCGAUCCGUGGGUUAGAGCGAGCGUGUGGUCGGCGGCGUGUUGGAUCGAGGGUGAAAGGGGAGCUAGGUGACGGGGAGGGAGGAGGGGCGAGCAGUGGUCCCGGAGCGGCGGUGGAUGAGGAGGAGGCGGUGGCAACGACGAAGGGGUGGAGCUGAAGGGAGAGAGGCAACAAAUAGGCCAGCAGCCGCCGCGGACCAAGGUCUAGACCGCGUUCAAUCCGCUCGGGCCACCACCCCGCUUCCCCGUCACCUCCGCCCGCUGGUCCUGUUCGUCGACAGCCGGGCAGCGCCCACUCCGAGGUCUCCCUUCUCCGCCCCUGUCCUCCGAGCUCCCUUCUCCCUUCUCCCUACUCCGCCCCUGUCCUCCGAGCUCCCUUCUCCCUUCUCCCUACUCCGCCCCUGUCCCACUUCCUCGUCCGACCAGGAGCACCUCCGCCGCGGCGGCCGGUCCCCGGUAAGCGGCAGCGGCCGGAGUGAGCGGAGCAGAUAAGAGAGCAGUGGUUGAGCUACUACCUCCUACCCUGUUCGUACGGCCACCGGUCGGUCACCUCGGGUGGUGUCCACCUCCUCGGUACUACACACACUCCAUCUCCAUCUAGUAACCUCCACUUCGUACAGAGGAACUACACACGAAGUAGACUCAAAGUGCCCCAUGAAUUCGUUACCAACGUGGGGCGGUGUAGUGUAUGGUCUACGAGUCUAAUAUUCUUUCUCCUUAAAAUAUUAAGUCCGUAGCUAACGAGUGGAAACUUCCAACGUCUAAGUUCACGAUCCGAAAUUCCUACUUCGUUUAGGGUUAGAUCUUUGUACACAGCACGUGGUAUAUAAACAGUGGUCUUUGCUUACACGUCCGCUGCCGGUAAACUAAUCACAAUAUAGGUUGAUUCCGAUCGACUGACGACAAACUAAUAGCUAAGUAGAUGCCGUCGUGUCUGUCCGCAUAAUAGAACCUCCGUUACCGCCGUACCCACCGUACUCUCCUUCCUACCCUUAGUCGAUGAACGUAAGCGUGCCUCCUCCGUUGCAGCUGCACUACCGUGUAGUCUCCUCCGACCCGAGCAACACCUCGAAGAACUCCGUCGUCCUGUACUACAGCAGGUAGUGUCUCUACCUCUACCGGUACGGGCACGGCUACGGCGGGCGCCUGCAGCCGCUCUCGUAGCGACGGCCGUUGCCGAACUCACUGGAGAACUCCUAGAAGAGGUACUCGUGGACCCUGCUGUGGUUGAGGUUGUAGUACAAGAGUCGCGGGCCGUCGUUCUUCCGGCUCCACGAGCCGCUGUCGCUACAGCCGUACCAGUGAUCGAAGUCGUUGUAACUGAGGGUCUAAGUCAAUCGGGAGAGCUCGACCUGUACGGGUCGUACCUGCUGAUGGACGUCGACGUCGUCCUGAGGCGGCUGACGUCUCAGGUGCGGUUCGCACCGACGUGGUGACUAGGCGUCUCGUAGCGAACCCUCCCUUUCUUCUUGUUCCUAGUUGGUCUCCGAUUCCUCCGACGUUCUGGAGUAAGGGAUGUACCUGUUCCAGUGUUCUUGACUUAUAUGUGCAUCUUCUUUGAACUCUCGGUUAUAAUCACGAUUUCCUAAUGAGACUAACGGCUAGAUACGACAGCGCCGUUGUAUCCGGUUAUGUGUAAGUCCUUUAUACACUGGUUGAAAGGGUUCCAGAGCGUAGUAGAUGAGUCCUAUAAGACACGGGAUUCGGGAUGUCUUAUUACGGGUCAGAUUAAAGUUGUCACCCUGUUGGAGUUUGAAGAGAGAAGUUAUAACUUCUUCGCCGAAUGAGUCUAGGUACCCGUACGUGAAUCUUUUUAUCGAUUUCUCAUGCUCUAUAAGGAUCUCAUUUAUUUCCCGAAUACACGAGUAUUCAAUCUGUCUUCGUUUUACAAUAAAUAAUACGAGGACAACAUAGGAGCCUGUAAAAUAAGGUGGAUAUUAUGGGGUUAUAGCUUAUAGAUGAAAGCGUGACAACAUGUCUUUGACUACAAUUAUAAACACGUAUGAGAAACAGAAUUCACCCGAAAGAAAGUUUUUUA